GAAUAUGCAUGGGGGCAGCGACGUUGGCAUACUUGUAUCACGAGCUUGGGUUAGCCAGCAGAAAGAAGUGUAAAAAGUUGGCAGGUUGCUUGACGUUGUUGCAGGCAUGGAUAUAUGAGUAC
Molecule: microRNA precursor, 122 nt
Filed under: Salicornia europaea (common glasswort)
Lineage: Eukaryota; Viridiplantae; Streptophyta; Magnoliopsida; Caryophyllales; Amaranthaceae
Description: miR11032 stem-loop (seu-MIR11032)
Source: miRBase by way of RNAcentral